UACGGAGGGGGUUAGCGUUGUUCGGAAUUACUGGGCGUAAAGCGCGCGUAGGCGGACCAGAAAGUUGGGGGUGAAAUCCCGGGGCUCAACCCCGGAACGGCCUCCAAAACUCCUGGUCUUGAGUUCGAGAGAGGUGAGUGGAAUUCCGAGUGUAGAGGUGAAAUUCGUAGAUAUUCGGAGGANCACCAGUGGCGAAGGCGGCUCACUGGCUCGAUACUGACGCUGAGGUGCGAAAGUGUGGGGAGCAAACAGG
RNAcentral lists this ribosomal RNA (253 nucleotides) under uncultured bacterium. Its description in RNAcentral is "partial 16S ribosomal RNA". It matches the Rfam family "Bacterial small subunit ribosomal RNA", at positions 524 to 776 of the family's 1533-position model. The record is from RNAcentral.